This 296-nucleotide ribosomal RNA is filed under the name uncultured bacterium. RNAcentral's name for it is "partial 16S ribosomal RNA". It matches the Rfam family "Bacterial small subunit ribosomal RNA", at positions 1079 to 1397 of the family's 1533-position model. The record is from RNAcentral.
GUUAAGUCCGGCAACGAGCGCAACCCACAUCUUUAAUUGCCAGCAGUUCGGCUGGGCACUCUAAAGAAACUGCCCGUGAUAAGCGGGAGGAAGGUGUGGAUGACGUCAAGUCCUCAUGGCCCUUACGGGUUGGGCUACACACGUGCUACAAUGGCAGUGACAAUGGGUUAAUCCCAAAAAGCUGUCUCAGUUCGGAUUGGGGUCUGCAACUCGACCCCAUGAAGUCGGAAUCGCUAGUAAUCGCGUAACAGCAUGACGCGGUGAAUACGUUCCCGGGCCUUGUACACACCGCCCGU